GUACUGCUGGAGAGUCCCAAACUAGGACGAAACAGCUGUCCAUUAC
Molecule: non-coding RNA, 46 nt
Filed under: Trichobilharzia regenti
Lineage: Eukaryota; Metazoa; Platyhelminthes; Trematoda; Strigeidida; Schistosomatidae
Source: RNAcentral